GUGCUGGCUUCGGCAGCACAUAUACUAAAAUUGGAAUGAUACAGAGAAGAUUAGCAUGGCCCCUGCACAAGGAUGACACACAAAUUCGUGAAGCAUUCCCUAUUUUU
RNAcentral lists this small nuclear RNA (107 nucleotides) under Monodon monoceros (narwhal). Lineage: Eukaryota; Metazoa; Chordata; Mammalia; Artiodactyla; Monodontidae. The record is from RNAcentral.